RNAcentral lists this ribosomal RNA (343 nucleotides) under Arthrobacter sp. 10-7A2. RNAcentral describes it as "bacterial SSU rRNA". It matches the Rfam family "Bacterial small subunit ribosomal RNA", at positions 1010 to 1352 of the family's 1533-position model. Lineage: Bacteria; Bacillati; Actinomycetota; Actinomycetes; Micrococcales; Micrococcaceae. The record is from RNAcentral.
AGGUGCCCCACUUGUGGUCGGUUUACAGGUGGUGCAUGGUUGUCGUCAGCUCGUGUCGUGAGAUGUUGGGUUAAGUCCCGCAACGAGCGCAACCCUCGUUCUAUGUUGCCAGCACGUGAUGGUGGGGACUCAUAGGAGACUGCCGGGGUCAACUCGGAGGAAGGUGGGGACGACGUCAAAUCAUCAUGCCCCUUAUGUCUUGGGCUUCACGCAUGCUACAAUGGCCGGUACAAAGGGUUGCGAUACUGUGAGGUGGAGCUAAUCCCAAAAAGCCGGUCUCAGUUCGGAUUGGGGUCUGCAACUCGACCCCAUGAAGUCGGAGUCGCUAGUAAUCGCAGAUCAG